AUUCAAUUCUAAUUCAAAUAAACUAAGAAGAGCAAUCAGUAUAUUUGAUUUGUACAUAUAUGUUCAGGUAUAACUUAUUUUGAUAAAAAAAUUUAAGUGGCAAUACAUAAGAAAGGUUUGAAAUUACUGUAUUAUAAUUUCUUCACUCUGACGUACGGUAAACUAGAUCCGAUUGCACUAUUCGCUCUCAUUCAGUUUCAGUUUCGAUCGUGGCCGAGCGCUAGGAAUUUAGGAAUUGCGUGCGAAAUAUAAUCGAAUUGAAUUCGUUCUCGUCCAAGCAAUGCAGUUUUUUAUGUCAAUACGCAUCGACAAAUCGCGGCCAUAUUGCGUACCAACAAAUUCGAUUGUUCGCUGAGAUCAACAAUUGCGUUUUUUAGCUUAAAAUUAUUUGCACGAAAAUAAUUUAAUUUAAGUGGAAGUUUCUGUGAAGUGAACAACAUAAAUUAUUGGUUAAAAUUAAUAAUCAAAUCGGAAAAGGACAAUUUACAAAAAAUUGUGUGGAAAAAAAAUAUGGGAUAUAUUCUUCGCUGUGGAUCAGCUUUCGUCAUCAUUCAAUUAUCGUAUUUUUUUGUAUAAACUGUGAUUAUGAGUUCCACAAAGUCGCAAGUAGCAGUUGCUACAACUAUACCAACAAUGUCCUCUCAAAAGGAUUAUAGCACUGAAGAGCAUUUAGGUCGUCAAAACAGUUUUGGAAAUAAUAGACGAGU
Molecule: long non-coding RNA, 707 nt
Organism: Teleopsis dalmanni
Lineage: Eukaryota; Metazoa; Arthropoda; Insecta; Diptera; Diopsidae
Exons: 4
Source: RefSeq, a predicted model, not a curated record